This 127-nucleotide small RNA is filed under the name Marmota monax (woodchuck). Lineage: Eukaryota; Metazoa; Chordata; Mammalia; Rodentia; Sciuridae. The record is from RNAcentral.
GCCAGGCAUGGUGGUGCAUGCCUGUAAUCCCAGCAGCUCGGGGGGCUGAGGCAGGAGGAUCUGGAGAUCAAAGCCAAUUUCAGCAACUUAGCAAGGUGCUAAGCAACUCUGUGAGACUCUGUCUCUA